UGGAACAAGGAAAAGAUGUCUUCUAGUUCCGAACUCGCUUGCGUUUACAGCGCCUUAAUCCUCUACGACGAUGGAAUUCCGAUCACGGUAAGGCGGGAAAGAUUAUUCUUUAAAUUAGAAUAGAGACGCUAUUUUCCGAGGAAUUAUUGCAACGGAGAGAUGUUGUUUCCAUUGAGUAUCGAGUCAACGGGGAUUGGUAGCGAGUCUUAUCCAAUUUAAGUGCACGAAAUAUUUCGUGACGAUUAACGCUUGUCUUAAGGCCGGAUUCCACGAGGCGGAAUUUUUCGACCGAAACGAAAUUUCUCUUUGUCUUUUUACAAUUAGUUCUGCUCGAGAGCUCUGAAACAAAGAGAAAUUUCGAUUCGGUCGAAAAAUUUCGCUUAGUGGAAAACCACCUUUAGAGGACGCGCAGUGUUUCGAUUCUAUUUCAUCAAUUUCAUGUUUCAUUCACUGUUUCAAUUCUAUAUCCUCGAGCCAACGAAUUUUUCGUUGGUCUAUUCGGCCGUGUCGGAAUAAUAUGAAACAGUGUCGUACAUUAAAUUCUUUUGUUUAAUUAAAUUAAUCGUAUUUGACGCAGGGCGAGAAAAUCCAAGCCUUACUGGAUGCAGCAGGCGUCACAGUCGAACCGGUCUGGCCCGGUAUGUUUGCCAAGGCAUUGGAAGGCCGUAACAUCGGAGACCUGCUCUGCAGCGUGGGCACACAGCCGGGUGGAGGCGGUGGGGUACGUGGUGCGGGAGAAGCAGAUGCAGGAGGGGGUGACGCCCAGGCCAAGGAGGAGGCGGAGAAGAAAGAAGAAAUGGAGGAGGAAUCUGAGGAGUCUGAUGAAGAGGCGAUGUUCAGCUGUAGGUUUGAUUUUCUGUAGGUUCGAUGUUCAGAAGUUGAUCAGCUAACACUAAAAUUCAAAGCACAUUUUCUUACAUCUUGUCUAUAAAUUUGGAAAUAUUUCUUCUGAAAUCUCCUCGGGAUCAUUAGGAGUUUUCUUCUCUGAAGUUUUGAAAUAAACAGACGUACAGAAAUACACAAACUAAAACAUGCAGCAGUAUAAAUUUUAACCUGGGAUUAUAGCGCUAAUCUGACCCACCUUUGAACAAACUGGCCGCUGG
This is a non-coding RNA of Paramuricea clavata, 1103 nucleotides long. The record is from the annotation of a GenBank genome assembly. Lineage: Eukaryota; Metazoa; Cnidaria; Anthozoa; Malacalcyonacea; Plexauridae.